CUGCCCGCUUCUUCUGUUAGACAAAAAGAUAUUUGAACUGUCUCACACCUAGAUUGUCUCACCACCAAACCUCACCAAAAUCACUUCACCGCAGCCCACCAUACGGAGGACGUCGGCAUGACCACUGCCACCGCCGGAAAUCACCAUCGCCAUAGCCGUAGAUCACAGGAUUGGCAUUGUUGGAAUUCCGUGCAAGAGUGGAUUAUGAUCCAUAUGGCGCCUUUUCAAAUUGGAAUCCCAAUGAUGACGACCCAUGUAUGUUGUUCGGUGUUCAUUGUGUUGAUGGUGAAGUGCAAUAUCUGGAUGUCAAUGGACCUUCCUUUGCAGGGGAACUUGCCCCAGACCUUGGGAAGCUUUCUCACCUAAGAUCUCUUUUUAGCUGGUUUCAUGAAGAAUCAACUGGGUGGCAAACUAUUUUGACCUUCUAGUUCAAUCUUCCUAAGCUGAUGAUGCAUCCUAGAUGUUGAUGUUGUUGAAAUUUGGAAGUUGGACUUGGUGAAGAAUCAACUGAUUUCAAACAAUUGUAGUUUAUGGUUGAAACUCCAUAUUGGGUCUCCCUCAGGCUUAAAUUUGAUGACCUUUUCUGCUCUCUCUGGUGUUUCUUUCAACCUUUCAAGGCUCUUUUUGAGGUUAUGUAUGUGGAUUCUAGUUAAGAUGUCUUUGAAUUAUAAGUACUCUGCCUCUAAGCAGAAAAUGGGAACCAAUUUCAAGCUGAAGAAGGCAAAGGAAUCUUUGCAUGGAUCUAAUAGAGUCUGGAAGUGGAGUAGACAUCUUCUGUUUCUGUGGCUUUUUGGUGUUUUCAUUGGGUUUAUUAGGUUCUUCUAUGGUUUGAAUGAUGGGGCUUUGAGGACGAAGGAGGAGACUCUAGACUUGUGUCAACAAAACAAAGCUAGGAUUUUGCUAGAACAUUUCAAUGUCAGCAAGGACCAACUUCAUGAAUCAGAUCAGGUGCUGUCUUUAUAUCUAUCUUAGAGAUUUGCUUCUUAAAUGGCUCCACUCUUUCUGGUUGCAGUUUUAAGUAACUUUUGUUGGUAAUAACUGUUUAUGUCGAUUAAUACUUGAGUUGGUUAGCAAGUUUUAGUGAUCAAAGAAAGGGAUACAGAAUAGGAUUACAGUUGUUUCUUGCUACAUCUUUGACAGGAUUAUAUUUGCUUAGUUCUAUAUUUGUGACAAAUGGUGGUCGCCUCGUCAGAAUUUUGCUACUGUGGAUUCUGAGUGCUUAUUAAAAUGCUAUUAUUUUUCUUUUUGAGACGUUAUUAAAAGUCUUCUAUGUGCAGUAUUAUUUGGUAGGAAAUGCUUCUUGUAUGCUAAAGCUUCUAUAGAAAGGACAAAAGUAAAAUCCACUAAAACAGUGAAAUUACCUUCAAAUGCUAUAUGGAAUUAAUGGGU
Molecule: non-coding RNA, 1389 nt
Organism: Camellia sinensis
Lineage: Eukaryota; Viridiplantae; Streptophyta; Magnoliopsida; Ericales; Theaceae
Source: RefSeq, a predicted model, not a curated record